GUCCUGUCCCGCGGCGCCGUCCGUGCACCCCGACGCCGCCGGCUUCCCUCCCGCCCCGCACCGCUGUCGUCUGGGCCGCCCCGCGCCGCCGUCGUCUCCAUCGGCGAGGUCCGCCGCUGUCUCCAUCGACGAGGUCCGCCGCUGUCUCCAUCGACGAGCUCUGCCCCGCCGCCGUGGACUCCCGCCAGAGGUGCUCACUCGGGGCAUUCCAUUUCUUGUUGCGUUCCACCACGGAGAAGCACCUGCCGUUUCUUGAAAUGUUUAGCUACUCGGCAAAUCUUUUUAUUUUUGGACCUAAAUUUCUUGGAUCGAGCUAUCUUAGACUCUGAUCUUAAGAAUCCCAUGCAGUUAAACUGUGGUCUGUCCAAGGUGCAAAUUAUGUUUUUCUAUCUCAAUCUUAGAUUGAGCUGUGAGCGAUACAGGAAAAACAUGGUCAGAGAAUGAACAAAAAUAUUGUGAUGAAUGGGUAUCAGGUCAACCUUCCUUAUGGGGGAACCCUUCCUUAUGCUGUUUCCAAAACCUAUCACUUAUACCAGUGCAGAUAUAAUUUAUGUCUUGUGUACAAACAUGUAGUGGAUAAACCUAGAGGCUGUAUGUUUGUCAUGCCAAUGCAGAGAUUGUAGGCUGACAAUGUACCCAUCCAUAAUGCUCCCAUUAGUAUUAGCAGCUCUUAUUUCUUUUCAUUGUCUGUUAUUGAUAUGGUAAACAUCUGCUAUUUUUCUUUGUCCCCUGCUUAGUAACUAAAAGCCCACUUUAUCUGUUUGAUGCAGGAGAAGCUUUAUGAAUGGAUCUUGAGGCAGCACGAAAACGGUUUGAGGCUGACAGUUGCUGAUAUAGCCUCCCACAUCCAGAUAUGCUAAUUUGCGGAGAAGGCUAUCAAUAGAUCCCCAUCUUUCCAACGAUGAAGAAGGUGCCCCUGACUUGAUUGUGGAGAAUCCACUCUCCCAGAUCCGCCGACAGACAUUUGAUCUACUUCGAGUUCAGUCAGCCCCUGGCCAACGUUGACCAUACUGGCAGCCUCAUCUACUUCCUCGUGCUCCCCCCCUCAAGCCAAGCAGUACAACAUCCUUUCAAGACGCGCGAAGCCAACUGAGCAG
Panicum virgatum (switchgrass) is the source of this 1097-nucleotide long non-coding RNA. RefSeq lists it as uncharacterized. The transcript has 3 exons. NCBI's taxonomy places the organism in Eukaryota, Viridiplantae, Streptophyta, Magnoliopsida, Poales, Poaceae. The record is from RefSeq and is a predicted model, not a curated record.